Molecule: ribosomal RNA, 429 nt
Filed under: uncultured bacterium
Lineage: Bacteria
Description: bacterial SSU rRNA
Rfam family: Bacterial small subunit ribosomal RNA
Source: RNAcentral
ACGAACGCUGGCGGCAGGCUUAACACAUGCAAGUCGAACGCCCCGCAAGGGGAGUGGCAGACGGGUGAGUAACACGUGGGAACAUGCCCAAAGGUACGGAAUAUCCUCGGGAAACUGGGAGCAAUACCGUAUGUGCCCGAAAGGGGAAAGAUUUAUCGCCUUUGGAUUGGCCCGCGUUGGAUUAGCUAGUUGGUGGGGUAAAAGCCUACCAAGGCGACGAUCCAUAGCUGGUCUGAGAGGACGACCAGCCACACUGGGACUGAGACACGGCCCAGACUCCUACGGGAGGCAGCAGUGGGGAAUCUUGGACAAUGGGCGCAAGCCUGAUCCAGCCAUGCCGCGUGAGUGAUGAAGGCCCUAGGGUUGUAAAACUCUUUCGUGGGGGACGAUAAUGACGGUACCCCAAGAAGAAGCUCCGGCUAACUUCGU